GCGGUGAAGCGCUGCAGCGUCCGGAAGCAGAGGUGCUCUUCGCCGAAGGAGGUUUCGAUGACCUCGCCCUGCACCGUCACACGGAGGGACCCGUUGAUGGUGUCCGGCGGCUGGGACAGGAUGGCGAGGUGAGUCGGCCCGCCGCCCCUGCCGACGGUGCCGCCGCGGCCGUGGAACAUGGUCAGCUUCACGCCGUAGCGCUUCGCCACCUUCGCCAUCGCCUCCUGCGCCUUGUACAGGUGCCACGCCGCCGACAGCCGGCCGGCGUCCUUGCCGGAGUCCGAGUAGCCGACCAUCACCUGCUGCUUGCCGCCGAUCCGGUUCAUGUACCAGUCCAGGGAGAAGAGCCGCUCUAUGGACGCCGGCGCCGACUGCAAGUCGGCGAGCUUCUCGAACAGCGGGACCACGGGCAGCGGCUGCUUCACGUGGCACUCACGCUGCAGGAGCUCGACGGCGAGCACGUCGGAGGGCGCCGUCGCCAUGGAGAUGAUGUACGGGCCGAAGCUGUCGCGGGGCAGCUCGGCGAGGACGUGGAAACAUCCGAGCACGUCGGCGAUCUCCUCGGUCUGGGGCAUGUCCUUGCUCAGCAGUGGCCGCUUGCCGCGGAGCUCGGAGAGCAGCCACUCCUGGCGCUUCUCCUCGGACCACUCGCGGUAGGACCCGAUGCCGAGGUGCGUG
RNAcentral lists this long non-coding RNA (678 nucleotides) under Setaria italica (foxtail millet). RNAcentral's name for it is "long non-coding RNA (SITA_LNC003121)". Lineage: Eukaryota; Viridiplantae; Streptophyta; Magnoliopsida; Poales; Poaceae. The record is from RNAcentral.